GAAUGCAUUAUUGUAAAGUAGUAGUCAUUUCCUUUCUAUAAAAAGGGACGCAUAUGUAACAUAAAAAAAGCAAGCCUUGAAGCCUUCAAUAAAACUAUUUCCUAAAAACACUCUCAAAAUAUUUAAGAUAUUCAUACUUAAUAGAUAAUGGAACAAACUUCAGAUAUCAUGGAUAAGCAAGAGGCAAAGGCUCUCUGCAUACGUUGAGGUUUGUGGUGAUAUAAUCAAUGGGCCUUUUGAUAUUUUUGGUGUAAAUGGUGGGUUAUGCUCACGGCUUGAAGCCAGAUGAAGUGUGACGAUGGCACAAGAAUUUGAGUGAUUGAUAUGAAUGUUGCAACAACAUUGAGUUUUCUUGCAAUAGGCUUUGAUAUUUUUUAACUUAGCUCUCUUAAGUCUUUUACACUCUUUCUACUGAAUGUUGUUCUCUAUUUUUUCCAGCCAAAAUAGUCAUUACAAGAAGCAACUCCUAAUAAUGUCUACUUUGCUACCUUAUAUAAUUCAUUGAGACAUGUAAAUUUUUACCAAUUUUUGUUAUUGUCACUAUUAUUAUUAAUUUUUUAAA
Long non-coding RNA from Solanum tuberosum (potato), 562 nucleotides. RefSeq lists it as uncharacterized. The transcript has 2 exons. The record is from RefSeq and is a predicted model, not a curated record. NCBI's taxonomy places the organism in Eukaryota, Viridiplantae, Streptophyta, Magnoliopsida, Solanales, Solanaceae.